AUGCACGCUACACAACAAGGCAGACCGGCCAGUUCCUCGAAAUCUAGGUCAUGUUCGGCUCUCCGCGGUAACACCAGUUUGCAUGCUCGUAAGCCAUCCGCUGCUGCAACCAAAACUGUUGUACAAGCGAAGCCAAAGAAGACCAAAGAGCUGGAAGAAGCUGAUAACGAAAUCAGAAAACUGAACAACUUGGGCUUGGGAGACGAUAUCAGCAACGAACAGUAUCGUGUUUAUCUCAACCAGCUGCCUCGCAAGCCUGAUGUCGACGUCUGCACCAAGCUGGAUGCUGUGCAGCUCAAGGAGCUCAAUGUGCGCCAUGCGUUGUAUCGCAACAAGUAUUAUCAGCUGUCACAACACGUGCCUGAGGAUAAGCUUUGCUAUGAUAAACUGAAGGAGGACUACCCACCUGGCCAUCGUCCUGUGGGGCAGGGAUCUUUUAAGUGCUCUGAGGAAGAUGGCGAAUUAGAUUGGUCUUUCCACCCUGACUACUGCAAACUUGCUGGCCUGGAGGACUACCAACGGCUGGUCCCUCGAAAUUAUGGUGGUUUUGAGUAUGUCAAUUGGGAUGAGUACCACAAGGAUUGUCAUAGCUAUGAAAUAGAACAAGAAUAUGUCAAAUUUUGUGAAGAAUUGUCCAAGAAACUUAAGUGGAUUGAAGCUUAUGUGUUAAAUAAGCCUCCAUCUCUUAUGUGGGGAAAGAUUUUGACCAGAGGAUCUUACCAAGCAAUCAAGAUCGCUACUGACUUCUCGAAGAUAUACGAUGGCUUAGCCUUUUCUGGCUUCUACGAAUGGUUAGAUAGCAUGGGUUUUGAUGUGUGUUGCUACAACGAGUUUGAUGGUCUCUAUUACGAGAUUUGGCAAAGGUACAACAUGGAGAAGAAAUUCAGAGAUGCUCUGUAUGAAGUCUAUGAACUUAACAUGUUUCCAUUACGCCAAGAAAGAACGAGACGUGCAUUGGAGAAUGACACAUUCUGCUCCGACUUGGAAGAAGAGUUUCUUGCUUGCACAGCUUGCCUCGAUGAAUUUGCAGAUGACAAAAGCCAGAUUUCAGAGGAUAAAGCCCGGGAGUUGAUUGCAGAGGCACUUAGAAAGGAGACGCAGAAACCAAAGUUCUAUGAGGAUUAUUGUAGGAAGAAGCUAGAUAUUGCUCAAGCUAUUGGAUUAAUUCCCAGCAUACCGUCUUAA
Molecule: ribosomal RNA, 1185 nt
Filed under: Triticum aestivum (bread wheat)
Lineage: Eukaryota; Viridiplantae; Streptophyta; Magnoliopsida; Poales; Poaceae
Description: partial small subunit ribosomal RNA
Source: RNAcentral